CUGGGUUCAGAACGUCGCGAGACAGUUCGGUCCCUAUCUGUUGCGGGCGUUGGAUGCCUGUGGGGGGCCGCCUUUAGUACGAGAGGACCGAGGCGGACCGACCUCUGGCUUGCCGGUUGUCGCGCCAGCGGCACACGCCGGGUAACUAAGUCGGGAAGGGAUAACCGCUGAAAGCAUCUAAGCGGGAAGCCCGCCCCGAGAAUAGGCAUCCCAUGGGGCUCGACCCCACCGAAGGCCCCCGGCACACCACCGGGUUGAUAGGCGGCAGGCGCAAGCGCGGCGACGCGCUCACCCGAGCCGUACUAAUAGGCCGCGAGGCUUGGCCAU
RNAcentral lists this ribosomal RNA (327 nucleotides) under Treponema sp. Its description in RNAcentral is "partial 23S ribosomal RNA". It matches the Rfam family "Bacterial large subunit ribosomal RNA", at positions 2605 to 2925 of the family's 2925-position model. The record is from RNAcentral. Lineage: Bacteria; Pseudomonadati; Spirochaetota; Spirochaetia; Treponematales; Treponemataceae.